ACAUCACUGCUUCCAAUCAAAAUGCUUACGGUCGAUAAGUCUAAUGAUGAUAUACUCAAGGCAGCCCAUAUAGCUUCUGGAAGUUGCCAUCAGUUGCUUUAUUGUCACAAGUUGAGCUGAUAGCAUCCAUUCUAGAAAAGGUAACACAUUCAAUGGCAGCUGUGGUCAUACAUGGAGCCUGUCAUUCACUGAACUUCCAGCCUGGGUGUGUGCCAAGCCUCUACCACUCUGGAGUGAUGAAUAUACUGCAGUCUGAAAGCUCAUUUCAUAUGCUGUGUAGCCUGAUGACUCAUCCUGAGGAAACAUACUGAGAGACAUCUAUUUAGCUUUAUAUUGCACCAUUGUUGGAAGCCAUUUAGGCUUUCUAAUUUAAAAUGCAACAACAGGUAAAACAUAUUUGCAACUGUCCUU
This 411-nucleotide long non-coding RNA is filed under the name Cyanistes caeruleus (blue tit). Its description in RNAcentral is "lncRNA (ENSCCEG00000011687.1)". Lineage: Eukaryota; Metazoa; Chordata; Aves; Passeriformes; Paridae. The record is from RNAcentral.